GAUGAACGCUGGCGGCGUGCCUAAUACAUGCAAGUCGAGCGAACAGAUGAGGAGCUUGCUCCUCUGACGUUAGCGGCGGACGGGUGAGUAACACGUGGAUAACCUACCUAUAAGACUGGGAUAACUUCGGGAAACCGGAGCUAAUACCGGAUAAUAUAUUGAACCGCAUGGUUCAAUAGUGAAAGACGGUUUUGCUGUCACUUAUAGAUGGAUCCGCGCCGCAUUAGCUAGUUGGUAAGGUAACGGCUUACCAAGGCAACGAUGCGUAGCCGACCUGAGAGGGUGAUCGGCCACACUGGAACUGAGACACGGUCCAGACUCCUACGGGAGGCAGCAGUAGGGAAUCUUCCGCAAUGGGCGAAAGCCUGACGGAGCACCGCCGCGUGAGUGAUGAAGGUCUUCGGAUCGUAAAACUCUGUCAUUAGGGAAGAACAAAUGUGUAAGUAACUAUGCAGGUCUUGACGGUACCUAAUCAGAAAGCCACGGCUAACUACGUG
RNAcentral lists this ribosomal RNA (497 nucleotides) under uncultured bacterium. Its description in RNAcentral is "partial 16S ribosomal RNA". It matches the Rfam family "Bacterial small subunit ribosomal RNA", at positions 28 to 507 of the family's 1533-position model. The record is from RNAcentral.